Molecule: long non-coding RNA, 864 nt
Organism: Musa acuminata AAA Group (dessert banana)
Lineage: Eukaryota; Viridiplantae; Streptophyta; Magnoliopsida; Zingiberales; Musaceae
Exons: 2
Source: RefSeq, a predicted model, not a curated record
AUCCUAUUUUAUUGAUAUUUGAUAAGAUGAGACCUUUUAUUUGUGUAGUGUUAUCUUGGCAUAGGCCUCCUAAAUGGCAUUCGCCUAUACAGCAGUCUAGGAAGAAACCAAGAGAGAGAAGCUCUGAGAAUUCGUGGGGGGUGAUGGAGAAACCCCAUCGCCGUCAGCAUCUCGCUCUCCUGAAGCGUCGCUGGCUGUCACAGAGGCUCCCCAGUCGUCGGUCCCUCCGUCGGCUACUCCGUCUACGCUCGCGGCUCCCCACCUAGCUUCGCCCGCUAUUUCUAAGGUUCCCCGAUCUUCCGCCCUUUCUCUCGCUAGAGAAGAUGCUGGUGAGCGCAUGUCUCACAGUCAUCCGUCCGUUGGGGGCGCGGGGUAAUCGGCGCAGUUGAAUGCUGCUAGAGCGGUGGCGCCUAACGGCGGUGAAACUGCUCAACCGAUUGCUGCUGGUGCGAGGGAAUCGGCACUGCCUUUCGGUCCUCUGUCCGCCGGGGGCACGGGAGAACCUCCUCAUCCGAUUCCUGCUGGCACGGUGGUGAAGGUGAAGGUAAAAGGGUAUCUUGGACGGACCUGCUUGCUGGCCAUUCUAAGGAUACCGUUUCUUACUCAUUUCUUUCGACGUUUGCUUUUGAUUGCAUCAAGAUCUCCCCCAAUGUUAGAUACGAUGAGAAGAUUAUGAGGCAGUGGAGGCAGCCCUGGGACUUCAACCUUGUGGAAAAGUUUCUCCUCCACUGCACAUCUUGAGGGACUUUGUUUCCAAAACGUGGAAAGUCUCUUCGAUGCCUCUAGUUUUGGAUUUAGCCAAUGACUUCUUUCUGUUUCGUUUUCAAUCUGAAGUGGAUAUGAUUUCAGUGCUUACUUCUGAUC